GACGAACGCUGGCGGCGCGCCUAACACAUGCAAGUCGAACGAGCGAGAGAGAGCUUGCUUUCUCGAGCGAGUGGCGAACGGGUGAGUAACGCGUGAGGAACCUGCCUCAAAGAGGGGGACAACAGUUGGAAACGACUGCUAAUACCGCAUAAGCCCACGGCUCGGCAUCGAGCAGAGGGAAAAGGAGUGAUCCGCUUUGAGAUGGCCUCGCGUCCGAUUAGCUAGUUGGUGAGGUAACGGCCCACCAAGGCGACGAUCGGUAGCCGGACUGAGAGGUUGAACGGCCACAUUGGGACUGAGACACGGCCCAGACUCCUACGGGAGGCAGCAGUGGGGAAUAUUGCACAAUGGGGGAAACCCUGAUGCAGCGACGCCGCGUGGAGGAAGAAGGUUUUCGGAUUGUAAACUCCUGUUGUUGAGGAAGAUAAUGACGGUACUCAACAAGGAAGUGACGGCUAACUACGUGCCAGCGGCCGCGGUAAAACGUAAGUCACAAGCGUUGUCCGGAAUUACUGGGUGUAAAGGGAGCGCAGGCGGGAGAACAAGUUGGAAGUGAAAUCCAUGGGCUCAACCCAUGAACUGCUUUCUAAACUGUUUUUCUUGAGUAGUGCAGAAGUAGGCGGAAUUCCCGGUGUAGCGGUGGAAUGCGUAAAUAUCGGGGAGGAACACCAGUGGCGAAAGCGGCCUACUGGGCACCCACUGACGCUGAGGGCUCGAAAGUGUGGGGUGCAAACAGGAUAAGAUACCCUGGUAGUCCACACCGUAAACGAUGAUUAUUAGGUGUUGGAGGAUUGACCCCUUCAGUGCGGUAGUUAACACAAUAAGUAAUCCACCUGGGGAGUACGACCGCAAGGUUGAAACUCAAAGGAAUUGACGGGGGCCCGCACAAGCAGUGGAGUAUGUGGUUUAAUUCGACGCAACGCGAAGACCCUUACCAAGUCUUGACAUCCCUUGACGAACAUAGAAAUAUGUUUUCUUUUCGGAGCAAGGAGACAGGUGGUGCAUGGUUGUCGUCAGCUCGUGUCGUGAGAUGUUGGGUUAAGUCCCGCAACGAGCGCAACCCUUAUGGUCAGUUACUACGCAAGAGGACUCUGGCCAGACUGCCGUUGACAAAACGGAGGAAGGUGGGGAUGACGUCAACUCAUCAUGCCCUUUAUGACUUGGGCUACACACGUACUACAAUGGCGUUAAACAAAGAGAAGCAAGACCGCGAGGUGGAGCAAAACUCAGAAACAACGUCCCAGUUCGGACUGCAGGCUGCAACUCGCCUGCACGAAGUCGGAAUUGCUAGUAAUCGUGGAUCAGCAUGCCACGGUGAAUACGUUCCCGGGCCUU
RNAcentral lists this ribosomal RNA (1335 nucleotides) under uncultured bacterium. RNAcentral's name for it is "bacterial SSU rRNA". It matches the Rfam family "Bacterial small subunit ribosomal RNA", at positions 28 to 1382 of the family's 1533-position model. The record is from RNAcentral.